Molecule: long non-coding RNA, 507 nt
Organism: Fukomys damarensis (Damara mole-rat)
Lineage: Eukaryota; Metazoa; Chordata; Mammalia; Rodentia; Bathyergidae
Exons: 3
Source: RefSeq, a predicted model, not a curated record
GUCAGUUAUAAGAGGAAGUUUAUUACAUAGGUGCUCAGUCUAGUCUCUGAAAUAGGGAUGCCUCUUUCAAGAAAUAUAAAGUGAAGUGGAAGAGACCAAGACCUUUUUCUAAGUGUGUCAGAGACUAAUAGAGCUUGAAUUGAUGAAUUAAAAAAUGUACAGUGUAUGAAAGGAAGGGAAUAAAAUUCCUUUUUAUACCCAGAUCUAGCCCAGCAGCUGCCUCCUAACUCAUCCCAGGAAAGUUUUCAUGGUGAAUCUUUUCCUACCAGUACAUUGACAAGAUUCUUCCUAUUUGGUGGAGCCUGUGAGUCUUCCUCUGUGUCAAUGAGAACAGAACAUGGCUUCUUCAGCCCUCAGCACUCCACUGAGGAAAUCCUUUCAUUGAGCAGAACAGAGAAGGCAGACAACAGCUUGCAAACCUCUGAUAAGCCUGAUUCUUUGGCCCAGAGCAACAGAGGAGUCCAGAAGCUGUGUGCGCUGCUUCAGCCCAAUGUAGCAGAGGAACCC